This 441-nucleotide ribosomal RNA is filed under the name uncultured bacterium. RNAcentral describes it as "bacterial SSU rRNA". It matches the Rfam family "Bacterial small subunit ribosomal RNA", at positions 958 to 1400 of the family's 1533-position model. The record is from RNAcentral.
AACGCGAAGAACCUUACCAAGGCUUGACAUUACCUGAAAACCGGCGGAGACGUCGGGUCCUUUUGGGCGGGUGACAGGUGGUGCAUGGCUGUCGUCAGCUCGUGUCGUGAGAUGUUGGGUUAAGUCCCGCAACGAGCGCAACCCUCGUUCCAUGUUGCCAGCACGUGAUGGUGGGGACUCAUGGGAGACUGCCGGGGUCAACUCGGAGGAAGGUGGGGAUGACGUCAAGUCAUCAUGCCCCUUAUGUCUUGGGCUGCAAACAUGCUACAAUGGCCGGUACAGAGGGCUGCGAUACCGUAAGGUGGAGCGAAUCCCUAAAAGCCGGUCUCAGUUCGGAUUGGGGUCUGCAACUCGACCCCAUGAAGUCGGAGUCGCUAGUAAUCGCAGAUCAGCAACGCUGCGGUGAAUACGUUCCCGGGCCUUGUACACACCGCACUACUA